GUCAGGCGGGGCCACCCGCCGAGUUUAAGCAUAUAAAUAAGCGGAGGAGAAGAAACUUACGAGGAUUCCCCUAGUAACGGCGAGCGAACCGGGAUCAGCCCAGCUUGAGAAUCGGGCGGCGGCGCCGUCCGAAUUGUAGUCUGGAGAAGCGUCCUCAGCGACGGACCGGGCCCAAGUCCCCUGGAAAGGGGCGCCGGGGAGGGUGAGAGCCCCGUCC
This 217-nucleotide ribosomal RNA is filed under the name Heliconia irrasa. RNAcentral's name for it is "partial 26S ribosomal RNA". It matches the Rfam family "Eukaryotic large subunit ribosomal RNA", at positions 11 to 226 of the family's 3401-position model. Lineage: Eukaryota; Viridiplantae; Streptophyta; Magnoliopsida; Zingiberales; Heliconiaceae. The record is from RNAcentral.